RNAcentral lists this long non-coding RNA (536 nucleotides) under Fukomys damarensis (Damara mole-rat). RNAcentral's name for it is "lncRNA (ENSFDAG00000024267.1)". The record is from RNAcentral. Lineage: Eukaryota; Metazoa; Chordata; Mammalia; Rodentia; Bathyergidae.
GGGUCAGGAGACAACCAACCCUCGGGGGUGAGCAGAAAUCAAGCAUCAGCAGAGUGCGGUGUGCGGUGUGACCCCUAAGGUCAGCAGGACUCCUGUCAGGGCACCUGCAGGGACCAGCCCCUUGGUCCCCGCAACUUCAUCCAUGCAGAGAAGGGAGAUGCGCUCAGGACCUGAUAUGGUGAACCUGACCCAGAAAGAUACGGCAAGAAUAAGGUUCUGAUGAAGCCGUCGGUAGUGACAGAUAUGAGCACAGGAGACACUGAAGAUUAAAUACCUUCAUUGCUUACACAGAGUGCAAUGCUAGGGCUUAGCCUCAUGGCACACAGCUCGCACAGUCUAAAAAGCUACGGAUGAGAGUGGUAACACAGUGAGUAAUAUCAGGUGCCUUCUGCUCAGACUGCUACAAAGACAGUGCCCAGACAAUGGACCCUCUUCCUACAGUAUCACAUCUAGUAAGAGCCAUGAUGCACCAUUUGCCAGUAAAGACAAGGUAAAGGUCUCUAGAAAGGGAUCCUGAACAAAGGCUUCCCUCCCCU